Molecule: ribosomal RNA, 449 nt
Filed under: uncultured bacterium
Lineage: Bacteria
Description: bacterial SSU rRNA
Rfam family: Bacterial small subunit ribosomal RNA
Source: RNAcentral
UGGGGAAUUUUGGACAAUGGGGGCAACCCUGAUCCAGCAAUGCCGCGUGUGUGAAGAAGGCCUUCGGGUUGUAAAGCACUUUUGUCCGGAAAGAAAUCCCCUGGGAUAAUACCUCGGGGGGAUGACGGUACCGGAAGAAUAAGCACCGGCUAACUACGUGCCAGCAGCCGCGGUAAUACGUAGGGUGCGAGCGUUAAUCGGAAUUACUGGGCGUAAAGCGUGCGCAGGCGGUUUUGUAAGACAGGUGUGAAAUCCCCGGGCUUAACCUGGGAAUUGCACUUGUGACUGCAAGGCUAGAGUGUGUCAGAGGGGGGUAGAAUUCCACGUGUAGCAGUGAAAUGCGUAGAGAUGUGGAGGAAUACCGAUGGCGAAGGCAGCCCCCUGGGACAAUACUGACGCUCAUGCACGAAAGCGUGGGGAGCAAACAGGAUUAGAUACCCCCGUAGUCC